Syngnathoides biaculeatus (alligator pipefish) is the source of this 533-nucleotide long non-coding RNA. RefSeq lists it as uncharacterized. The record is from RefSeq and is a predicted model, not a curated record. NCBI's taxonomy places the organism in Eukaryota, Metazoa, Chordata, Actinopteri, Syngnathiformes, Syngnathidae. The transcript has 4 exons.
GUCAUGGUUUAUUUUCUUUACAGCUCCAAAAACCUCCAGAACACCUGAAGUGGAGGAUUCAAAAAGUGAUGCCGGUCUUGUAAUUGCCCUGCAAGACCAUCAAAUGGAUCAGGUGGUUCACUGUCACCAUGAAGAACCCCGAGACAUUCAAGACAAAGCCAUCUCCCAUCAACCUCAAGCCAUCCACCACCAACCACGAGCCUCUCCCAUUCCUCCAAAGAGAGUUGCCCCAUGUCAGAAGAAAGGUUCCAGAAAAAAGUGCUGAGGCUGCUUCCAGAGAUAAGGGACAUCGCCAGGCAUCAAGACCAUAGGGCACCACAAGAAGAGGACAUGGACAUUGUCCAGAUAAAAUCUUUGGCCGACUUCAUUGUCCUUGAACACAGAAGGUGAUGGAAGAUUCUUCUACUUCUGCAAAACUGAAAUCCGAAAUGUUGAAAGUUGGAGGGGUAACCCUCAGAGAAAAGUAAUUUGUGUGCUGUUUUCCAGUGGCAGGAAACAGGACGGGAGGAACCCAGAUGGACAGUAAAUGAGAG